Molecule: transfer RNA, 74 nt
Filed under: Pseudomonadota bacterium
Lineage: Bacteria; Pseudomonadati; Pseudomonadota
Also listed under: 3 other names
Description: tRNA-Pro
Rfam family: tRNA
About the family: Transfer RNA (tRNA) molecules are approximately 80 nucleotides in length. Their secondary structure includes four short double-helical elements and three loops (D, anti-codon, and T loops).
Source: RNAcentral
CGGGGUGUAGCUCAGUUGGCUAGAGCGUUGCGUUCGGGACGCAAAGGCCGGGGGUUCAAGUCCCCCCACCCCGA